CAUCUCUUAGCUUAGCAUCUCUAAACAUCUUUCUGUCUGCAUCUUCAAGUGUUUCAGUCUGUGUCAGCUCCCUGAGCUCCUUCUGUCUGUGAUCUCUCUUAAAGGACUCCAGUGAUCUAGUUAAGGCCCACCUGGAACGGACGGGGUCACAUCUCUACGGAAAUAAUUUAAUCAAAGGUCUUACCUACAGUUGGGUGGGUCACAUCUCCAGGGAAACAACCUGAUAAAAUUCCCACCCUAAUCAAAGGACUAAUAAGUCUGCCCCCACAAGAUUGCAUUAAAGAACAUGGCUUUUGUGGGGUACAUAAUAGAUUCAAACCAGCACAGAGGAGAUAGGGAGAAGUAAGAACGGGAGGGGAAGAGAGAAAUAGGGUGAAGAACAAGCAAGAAGGCAGAAGGUUGUGUGAUUUCCACCCUCCUUGGGACCCCCGAAAUAUCACGCCCUGACAAAGUUGUGGGGAGGAGCAAAGAGUCAUCAUCUUAAGGUUCCCCUGGAUGUGGAGUGGGGGAAAGAUUGAAGUCACUACUCUCCUUCAGAGGAAAAGAAAAGCAACAGGACAAUUCAGAGCCAGACGGCAUUUCCCAGUGAUGGAUUGAUGGAGCUCCCACAAUCACUCUUUUUCUCCCCAUCCGUGAAGCUGGAAGCAGAGGACUCCGAAAGCCUGGAGGACGGCAGAGCGAGCAGAUGACAGGACUCCUGAGUCACUGCUUGGAAGACAGUUACUCAGGAGGGAUGCCUGACCAGGAAAGCCCACGUCAGACUAUUUCAAGGGGAGAAGAGAAGACAGCAGUGUGAUGACAGAGCAGAGACUGAAGUGCUGCAGCCGCAAGCCAAGGAGUGCCGAGGAACACCAAGGAUUGCCGAUAACUGCCAGAAGCUAGGAAGAAGCAAGGAAGGAUUCUCCUGUACAGGUUUCAGGGGAAACAUGGCCCUGCUGACAUUUUGAUUUCCUUCUUCUGGCCUCCCAAACUGGAAGACAAUAAAUUUCUGUUGUUUUAAACCACCGACUUUGUGGUUAUUAUGGAAGUCCUAGGAAACAAAGACAGUGCAGUACAUUUGUUACAGUUGAUGAACCAAUAUUGAUACAUUAUUAUCUGAAAUCUAUAGUUUACAUUGGAGUUUACUCUCUGUCUUAUGAGGUUCUAUGAGUUUUGUCAAAUGCAUAAGUUUAUGUAUCCACCAUUACAGUAUCAUACAGAAGUUUUGUUGCCCUAAAAUUCUGGGCUUCACCCAUUCAUCCCUCCACCUCUCUACCCCCCAAACCCUUGACAACCACUUGUGUCUUUGUCUCCACAGUUUUGCCUUUUCCUGUAUAGUCAUAUUGUUGGAAUCAUACAGUAUGGAGCCUUUUCAGACUGGCUUCUUUCACUUGCAGUAUGUAAAUAAGUUUCUUCCAUGUCUCUUCUUGGGUUGAGAGCUCAUUUCUUUGUAUGGCUGAACAGUACUCCAUUGUAUGGAUAUACUGCAGUUUGUUUAUCCAUUCACCUUUCCAAGGACAUCUUGGUUGCUUCCAAUUUUUGGCAAUUCUGAAUAAAG
This is a long non-coding RNA of Choloepus didactylus (southern two-toed sloth), 1537 nucleotides long. RefSeq lists it as uncharacterized. The transcript is spliced from 4 exons. Lineage: Eukaryota; Metazoa; Chordata; Mammalia; Pilosa; Megalonychidae. The record is from RefSeq and is a predicted model, not a curated record.